Molecule: small RNA, 8185 nt
Filed under: Rattus norvegicus (Norway rat)
Lineage: Eukaryota; Metazoa; Chordata; Mammalia; Rodentia; Muridae
Description: uncharacterized LOC103692951
Source: RNAcentral
UUGAGACGGAGUCUCACUGUGUAGCUGCUGUUUUGGAACUCACUAUGGAGACAUGUAGAGUAGACCAGGCCAUCCUGGAAACUCACAGAUAUCCUCCUGCUCCGGUGGGCUGAGAUUUUUAUGCCCAGUCCAGCGUAGAAUUUCUUUUAGUUUUCCCUAACUAAAUGGGGGAUGGGUCCUCUAAGAUAGCCAAUCACUGACAACAGCGUCCCAGCUCCAGAGAAUGCAAGCAAGGUUGGUGGGGUCCAGGGUCCACCAACUAUCCCUAUCUUCCCUUCCCCACCUCCCGUGAGCCCCAAAGGGCAAGUAGCAGGGUCUUCGGAGAGAGGUCUGGUUUGCUUAGGUACUGCCUGUCCCCAUGAAGACCAGAAUACAAAGGGCAAGUUAUGCAAAGGUCCAGGGUCAGGCUCCACCCUGCUCACUGUAUGACAGAGAUCCUCAGCCCUGAAGCCUGGUUAUAAAGCAGGUUCCCCAGCUCCGGGACUUCUGGGCGAAUGGGCAGACCCUCAACCAUUGCCUUUACCGGUGCUUUCUGAAACCAAGUCGAGAAGUCUGGAGCCUUGCAGGACCGGGAGGAGGAGGAGCUCUGAGGAAGAAGAGAAACUCAGAGGAGGAUCCACUCAGAGGUGGAGGGGGAGCUGUGAGGAGCAGCAACUCUGAAGAGAAUGGCAAAUUCGAGGAGAGACCAUAGAGGCCGGAAGACAACAGGACAACACAUGCAAAUCCUGAAGAACAUCGUCCACAUUGCCUUCGUUAAGAAAAAAGUAUCCUUCAGGAAGUAGAAAGCAGGUCAUUCCCAGAUAAAAGUUGAAGGUAAUUGUCAGUGGACUUGGCAUACAAGGGGCAGUGGAGGGAGCUCUCCAUGCUGAAAUGAAGUGAUACUAGCCAGUUAACUCACAGCGACAGAAGAAAAAAAGCACAGGGCACAGUAAGAACACAGUAAAAGUGCUAGUGUAUAAAACAUAGAAAUAGCCUGUGGCAAUGAAAGUACAGUGGGGGAGGGGGGAGAGAUGAGAAGCACCAGAUCUGUAUACUACAGAAGGUAACUUGUUAUUCAGAUAAGGUUUUUGUAAGUUUAAGGUGUUGGUUUAUGCCUGGAAGCUUCCUCUCCAGCUAUCCUGGAAUAUGUAGUGUGGCAGAAACAGCAAGGGAGGCUUUGCCUCAGCAAGGAGGAAGAGGGGAACUGAAUCCCGGAUGUUAUCCUUUGACCUCUCUAUAUGCACUCUGUGGCACUCCCCCAACCCCGUGUACACACCCUAAUAAUGAGUUUUAAAAGAUGUUGACUUGAUCCCCAAAGUAAAUAAUGGGAAUCAAAUAAAAGGUACAGAGAUGAAAGGAGGGUCAAAGAGGAACGCUAAGCUGCCAACAACAUGAGGAAGGCAAGGGCAGGGGAAGGGAAGAGGAAAGGAAUGCAGAAAUAAAUGGAAGAGGUGGUGUAUCGCUGUGACACAAACAUUUGGAUCAAUAGUGACUCUGGGGAGGGACAGUGAUGGCAGAAGCUGAAGCAGAAACUGUAGGGAUUGUAGUGGUUUUUUGUUUGUUUGUUUUUGUUUUUGCAGAUGUUGCUUUUUGCUUCCUAUUUUUUCCUUUAUAUUCUUAUCGAUACUUUAUUUAUGGGUCCUUCUUUUAUCUGUCUCCUCACAAUAUUUUCUCUGGCUCAGCUCAGCUUCUUCUAUCUCAACUGUCGCCAACUGUCUUCUCAGUCUGCUAGCCUAUUCACUUUCAAGUGUCCCUUAUUUUCACUCUUCUCCUCUCUAACCUUAUUCAGUCUUCUUUCUUCCUGCAUCAACUGUCUUCUGACUCUACUCUUCUGUCUCCUGGGCCUUACUUCUAUCUACUACUGAGUCCUAAUACUCUCAUUUUCUCUCCUACAACUACUCUCUCCAGCUCUGUACUCUCUGCUCCACUGCUCUUGGAAUCAAGCCUCCCAUUCUGCCUAGCCACAAUGAUGGCCACAUGUCUUUCAGUGUUUUGUUUUUAUUUUCUCCUUCAAUCAGCUUGCCACAUUAGGUGCCAAAUGUAGCUUUUUGUAAAAGCUUUUUUUUGUUGUUGUUCUUUAAUUCUUUCUCUUUUCUUUUUAACAGCUACUUUGUAUGCUGAGAAGAUCCGUUCUAAAAUACCAUCUUCACUUUGCAAAUGAGCCAACUAGGAAAAUGAGUAGAAGGCAAAAAUAACUAAAACAUGGUCCAGUUUGGGAUCUAUACAAUCCAAAUAUGAUCCCUGUAGUCUCUUUUUCUACUAAAGUUAACACUUUCUCUGCUUCCUUUGUUAGCUGUCAUGGACUGAGUCUGAAUCUCCUUGUAAUGUUUGAAACAAAUUACUUAACUUAUGAGUAGUUAAUCCAGUGGGGGUGCUGUAUCUAAUUAACAUCUCCCAUUGAUUUUUGAAAAUCAUUAAGAGUUUGCAGCUGAUCUCUUCUGAUCUGUACCUUCUGUGGUUGACUUUUUUUGUUGACUUAUUUCAUAACCUAGAUAGUGGAUGGAAUCUCAUCUCUGUUUUUUGAUUUUUACAGGAAGAAGCAAUCUGCAAACUCCAAAAAGGUAAAAUUCUUUUGUUUCACUAAACAUUUUCUCUAAAGUAUCUGCACAUAUGUCAGCCAACAAAAUAUCAUCCAUGUCAUGGUAAUUAACGGAUUGAGGAAAUUGCCUAUGAAUUAUCUCUAUCUGUUGUUGCACAAAAAAAAUUGGCAUAGGAGCUGGAUUAUUUAACAUCCUUGUGGAGGAAGUUUCCACUGAUAUCUUUUUACAGGUUGUAUAUUAUAUAUGUAGGCAAAGUGAAGACAAAUUUUUCAUUAUGCUGCUCUUGUAAUGUGAGAGUAAAACAGCAGUCUUAAACCAAUUAUUAUCAUAAGCCAUGCCUUAGGUGGUGAAGAAGGCAAAGGAAUUCCAGGCUGUAAUGGACCCAUUGGUUGGAUUACUCUGCUCACCACUGUCAAAUCUGUUAAUAUUUUCCAUUCCCCGAUUUCUUCUUUUAUAGCAAAUAUGGGGGGAAUUCCAUGGGCUGGUAGACUCUUCUGUAUGCUGAACCUCCAGCUCUUCUUGUACCAACUGCUCAAGUGCCUGUAAUUUUUUUUCUUUAGUUAAGGGCCACUGCUCUAUACACACAGGCUUCUUAGUCAACCAUUUUAAAGGUAGGUUGUUGGUAUGAUUUGAGCAGUCCCCCAUAUAAAUUUGGAAACUCAAUCCCUGUUCUACCCUGAUUUUGGACAACCUGCACAGUCUGGGAUUGUUCUGGCUCACAUUUUUUCAAUACUUUCCACCGAAGCAGCUCACUCUUUACUUUAGAAUUGUCUCUGGUGUUGAGGGAAUAUUAACCUGAGCUCCCCACUGCUGUAAUAAAUAUUGUCCCCAUAAAUUUAUGGGCAUGUCAGCCACUAAAGGCCUUAACUUUCCUAUUGGCCUUCUGGUCUCACACAUUUAUUCCAUCACACACUUGGCUUUAUCUGAGAUAUUUCCAAUCCUGAGAAUCUGGGUAUAAACCUUUUGAAGUAGCCAUUCUGAAUUCCAAGAUUAGUAAUUUUUUUAUGUGAAAUUAUAGUUGCAUUAUCACCUGUAUCCAUCAAACCUUCUAUUCCAAUGUCAAUCACUUGUAACCUUAAUUUUGGCCUCUGAUCACUAACAACUGUUUCCCAGAACACAUGCUUUCCAGUGUUUCCAAACCCUCCUGGUCUUUCCACUGGGGCAUCUUUGCCUUUGAUAUAGGGAAACAAAUAAUAACAGUAAAUAGUAACAGCUGAGCAAUUCUAUCACCUGUGUUAAAUUCCAUCUCUCUCUUUAACCUAAGCCAGUAUUUUAAUUUCUCUUUUGAAAUCUUCAUUAUAAUUCUUGGAUGCACAAUAAACCCUUGGGAAGUCAAACUGCUCCUUCCCAAGACCAUUCCUACUAUCUUUUGAGGGCAAAGGACCAUACACACAGUAGAUAUUUUAUAACACAGGACUUUUGGGGAUAGUGUAAGAUGUUAAUCUAUGGCCAAGUCUAGAGAGGCAUUGCCUUUAGUAGCAUGAAUUAGAUCUGCAAUACUUAGUUGAGUAUUUUUCUUCUUAUUUGUUAUUUCAGGGAAAUGGUUCAUACUUUUGCUGUGGGGCCUCAAGCUAGCAACCCCUUAUCAUUUCCUAAUGGUGAGCAAUUGCCUUGUAUAUCUGUCUUGGGCCUAUGUUCAUUGCCACAUCAUCUGCAUACUCCUAUAAGUCUGGACCUUCUUUUCGAUUUAUAUUUUGAAAACCAUUGCUCUUAGAGAUGCCUUGCUCACAAUUUGGUUUCACAUGUCCAUAUUUCCCACAAUUAAAGCACUAGGCCUUUUGAUAUCAGAGAUCUCUAGCUAUUCCUUGACCUAUAUUAGCAUGUCAUAAGUUAGAACCAGUAUCAUUUAUAUUCUUUAUCCAUUCAUCUAUGGGCACUGCCCAUGCCUUCAGUUGUCUUAUGGCUUUUUACACUCUGCAAUUGCAUUUUCAAAUGCUAGGGUCUCUAUCAAUACCUGUCUUUCAUCAGGGUCUGCGACAGUCUUAUUUACUACUGAGAUCCAUCUUUGUGAAAAAAAAUCAGUAAAGGCUUCUCUGGAGCCUUGUAUAAUUUUGGUAAAUGGUGUGGAUUUCAACUUUGUCCCAAGCUCUUAAAGCUGCUAAAUGACCUUGUUCUACGAUUGCAUCUUCAAAGUGGACCUGUUCUUGUAUAUCAGCAUAAUAACUUUCACCUAUCAACUGUUCUCUCACUAUAUUAAUUCCCCCUUGCUCUAUUGUGCUGUUCCAAACUCCUGGCUUCUUCUCCUUGUCAUGGCAACCAUUACAAUUGAGGACUAGCCUCUAGUAUAGCUGUUAUCAAUUCCCUCCAGUAUUGGGGAUUAAUUCUAUUUUGAGUAGCACAAUUAUUUAGAGAAUGUUUCACAUAUGGUGAGUGCAUCCUGUAAGACAUCAUUGCCUCUUUAACUGCUUUAGGUCCUUCAUUUCUUUAGGACUCCAUACUAUUUCAUUGUAACCAUGUGGAUUAUCCUUGCUAGCAGGCAUAUGCUGUAUAAUAAGUGCUGGGAACACUGUUGGUUAUUUUUUGACUAAGGACAGCCUGCCCUCCCAAAGGUGCUGUAGGUUUAACCCUGUUUCCUGAAAAAAGCUGUCUCAUCUGACCAUUCUUCUGCUUUUUCAAUUCUUUGACUAGGCUGCCCUUUGACACAGUUCCUUCCCCUCUUUCUACCUGGGGAAAACUCUUCAGAUUCAGUCUCAGGGGAUGGACCUAUUUCUUCUUUUUCUUGAUGUUCUUCCUUUCUUUGCCCAAGCUUCUCUAUUUCCACCUCUAUUUCUUCCCAUUUACUCAGACAAUCUUUUCUCUAAUUCUUCCUGCAUUUCUUUCUGUUGCUUAGACAGUAUUUUAUAAACAAAAUAGCCAAAAAUGAGAAAAGAGAGAGGGGAGGGGGAGAAACAAGCCUGCUGCUAAAAACCAUGUAGGUGAUGUCCAACAGCAGCUUCAACAAACUCCCUAUCGGCUUUUAGGAACAAAGUAUCCAUCCCUUCUUUUCCUGUCUUUUGCUCUACCCACACAGGCUUGUUAGUCAACCAUUUGAAAGGUAGGGUGAGGUGAAGGAAAACAGCACGGAAAAGCAAACACACACACCCAAAAGCCACAUACUAAAGACUGGGGAUGUGGCUCAGAGGUAGAGCAUCUCACCAGGAUGCAACUGAGCCCAGUUCAAACAUUAGCAUAACAAAAAUUGAAAUAAAAAAUUAAAGUUAGAGGAAAACUAGAUGUAGACUAGAUGCGAGAGAGGGAGGGAGCUUUCUGGUCAACACCUGUACCAAUGGAGGGUGACUAAUGCCAAGUUGAGAUGGAGCUCACAGAAAAGCACUUUAGUGUGCUUAAGCCAGGUUCAAAGAUGUCACCUCUGUUUAUUAAAAUUUCUGUUCCACUUGGCUAAGAGCCUAUCUUCACUAGUCACUGAGGGCUGUGGGUCUUUGACCACUGGAUGGUCAGAGGAGCCAAGGUGAAGCUGUAUGAUAUGUUCACACAGGAGCACAGGUAAGGCAGACAAAGACACCAGACAUGGAUUUCUGGUCCCUAUGAGCAAAUGUAUAAGUGAAUUCCCCUAAAUAAACACAAACAGAUAUGGACACAAAACACGCAAACACACAUGACCAUACACACACACACACACACACACACACACACACACACACACACACACACACAGAAGUUUAAGGAUGCCAAGGAGAUAAUUAUAAACCCAUGACCACAGGAGCAUCAUUCAUAUUGGUUGAAAGAGGAAACACAAGAAUCCACUGACAGAUGAGUGGAUUAAAAAAAGAAGAAGAAAAGAAAAAGAGAAAAUAAAAUAUGACCUUCAUGCUGUGACCCCAGAAAUAAAUCAUAAUAAAAAGGUUUUUUUUAAAAAAAAUUUAUUAGAGUUUAAUUUGUGUGUGUGUGUGUGUGUGUGUGUGUGUGUGUGUGCACUCACUACACUUGUAUGGGUGCCUAGUGCCCCCUGAGACCAGAAAAGGAUAUUGGGUCCCCUAAAGGUAGAGUUGCAUUUGCCUGAGUCCCAGUGUAGAUAUAGGAGAUGGAACUUGGGUCCUCUGGUAGAGCAGUAAAAGUGUUUAACCUCUGAGCCAUCUCCCCAGCCUCUAUAGGCUUUAAAAGUAUGCACACAGCAUGAUAUUUAUUUUAUAAAUCAGGGGCAGCAAGAGAUUAACAGGAAUAACGAACGAGAGUUGUAAGAAACAGAAUACGUCUAUGAAAGUUCUUCGAAUGGGAGCCCUUCUCUCAGAUAUCCCAGGAUUAUCUACCAUAAUUGAAACCAGAGAGUUACCAGUGAGUUCUGGGUGAGCAGCGUUCACUCCUACGGUUUGUCUGUAAAGAGUUAGUGUGACGCCUGCUGAACAUGUGGGAGCCUUGAAGUCUAAAGUCAGUCACAGGAAGAUAGGGUGCGAUUGCCCUCUGUCAAGUCACAGAAACAGAAGCAGAAUGAACUGUGGGGGUGGUGCAGAGGACAGAAGGAGGAGCUGCUUUCCUGGGGUUCAGAGUGACAUUUUAGCAGAUGCAGUGAUCUGUGGAGGGGUUGCAGUAGUGGCUGCACACCAGGCAUGACUCGCAGCACCGAGCUGUAAGGAGAAUGAGCUGAGGGUGGCUCACUGGUCCUUGCUGCUGGAGCGGAAGGCCCUGGGAUCGAUCCCCAACACCACAGGAAAUCGAAUGGUAACACUGGUGAAUAUUAGAGAUGCCUGACUGAAAUAAAAUAAAACGAUGCUCAGAUGAACGCAUCAAGCUGCCUGGUGUGGCAGGGAGUGUGGCCAGGGCCGCAGAGCAACCUCAGCUGGGGGAGCUCUGUCUGCACAUUCCAGGACAAGGGCCUGAGUCCUGUCAGGCUGAGGGAGACCUUGCCUGAGAGCCAUGACACACUGACAGCAGUGUCUCUGCACAGCUGCGGCACCAUUUACACCUGCAGCAGGGGUUUGGGCAAGUGGACCCCUGGUUGCCUGAGUGUGACUUAGAGCUUGUGGAGACGGGGUAGCCAUGGGGUGCUCAUCUCUGUGGCACCCACCAAGCCCCUGGACAGUGAGGCUCACUGAAGUCCCCUGUGGGAUGUGUCCUCAGCCUGAGUCACACUGGUGACUGGGAGUCCAACCCUCUGACAUAUCUGACAAACAGCUGUGAGUGUGCAGACACCCUGAGCUCUGCUGUCACUUUGCCUGCUGCUGCUUUUCUUCUGUUAUUUCUCUGCAGUCACUACUGGGAGGACAGCAGCCUUCCUGUCCCUGGGAGCCUUUCCAGGCACUCAUGGCACUCAUGGGGGUCUUGGGGACCACCAUGUCAUGUCUGCAGACAGGAGCAUUGCUGAGUCUUAGUGGAAGCCUGUUAUAUCUGUCCUUGAGACCCAUGGAGACCUGACCUCUGCCUGCAGUCUGUCACCACCCUGGUCACCAGUGGCAGGCCUUGGUGGGUAACACAGGGUAAGUUGUUACUCCUGAACACAGCCUACAUUUUCAUUUUCUUCCUUGCUUCUCCCUUUCUCCCUCCCUCCUUCCUGUCUGUCUUCUUUGCACUUCCUCUUCAAAGCUCUGGUUUGGUUUAACCAGGCUGUCCGUGUUGUAUAGCCCAGGCUGACCUAGGCCUUGCUGUAUAUCCCAGGAAAUCUCCACAUACACGAUCCUCCUGAUUUGGGCUCUUGAGUGCUGAACAUGCAGCCUGUGCCCAUGGACCAGGCU